This 339-nucleotide long non-coding RNA is filed under the name Prunus persica (peach). RNAcentral describes it as "long non-coding RNA (PPER_LNC000987)". The record is from RNAcentral. Lineage: Eukaryota; Viridiplantae; Streptophyta; Magnoliopsida; Rosales; Rosaceae.
UGUGUUUGUUCUGGUGCUUUGUCAGGUUUGAUUUGGGAGGUGAUGAUCUUCUUGUGGCUGGCUUCUUUUUACUUGUUUGUGUCUUUGUAAUAUGUGAGAUUUUAAGGUAUUUGGGUGGAUCUGUGGGUCAUGCGAUCUUUUCGUUUUGUGCCCCUUGGGUGUAGCAGCUCUUCCCCUCAACUUGUCCUGGUGAUGUUGUCUCAGGCGGCGGCUCUGUUGAAUUUUGGUUAGGGUUUGUUAGCUUUCUUGGCCUUGGUUUGGGCUUGUGUGGGCUUAAUGCCUUCUAGGUUUUUAACUUCUUGUUGGUUCUUUUGCAUUUUAUUUGGGCCUCUGGCAUUU